GACCUUGAUCUGCGCCCUGAUCGGGGGCGCUCACCCUAGCAAUGGGUGGUGGGCCCCUGUCGCGCUGCGCUAUAUAAACAGGGUGGGGGACCCGGCUCGGCUCACGAGGUUCGCCGUAGCCAGCCGCCCCACCGACACACCUACCGAUCUAGGUUUGCGCAGUAGCGGCGGGAAGCACCACCGCCACCUCGCCGGCGACCGGGCUCGGCACUGCGCGUCGCUGCCUUGCGCAGACUCCACCGACAGAACCCGCGAUGGCCAGCAGCUCUGCUGCUCCCACCUCUAGGGGUGAAGGUAACCCCAUUUCUCUCUCACUCACACUCGGCACUCACCUGGAACACCAUGACC
Molecule: long non-coding RNA, 348 nt
Filed under: Setaria viridis
Lineage: Eukaryota; Viridiplantae; Streptophyta; Magnoliopsida; Poales; Poaceae
Description: long non-coding RNA (SVIR_LNC009865)
Source: RNAcentral